GAAAGAAAGAAUAGAUAUGCAAAGUUAAAUAGAGGUAGAUGAAGAAGAUUUAUAUACAUUAAAAAUUAACUGCAUGGGGAGAAGAACAGUAAGAAAGGCAAACAAAGGAAUAAAUGUAGAAAAAAUAAUAGGUUUAAAAAAUUAAAAAUAUAAAAAAGAGGAAAAAUGGAAGAAGAAAGAAAAAAUAAAAAAGGAAAACUCCACAGAACUGCAAAAGCCCAACGUAGAGGCAGAGGUUUAUAAUAACAAUAGAAAGCAUGACUGAAUAUACACAUGUGGGAAAACACACACACACACACACACGCACACACUCCUA
Cervus elaphus (red deer) is the source of this 316-nucleotide long non-coding RNA. RefSeq lists it as uncharacterized. The record is from RefSeq and is a predicted model, not a curated record. Lineage: Eukaryota; Metazoa; Chordata; Mammalia; Artiodactyla; Cervidae. The transcript has 3 exons.